UGCAUAGGCCGGGAAUCGAACCCGCGUGACAGGCGAGCAUUUUACCACUGAACUACCGAUGC
This 62-nucleotide transfer RNA is filed under the name Cordylochernes scorpioides. RNAcentral's name for it is "tRNA-Ser". The record is from RNAcentral. Lineage: Eukaryota; Metazoa; Arthropoda; Arachnida; Pseudoscorpiones; Chernetidae.